CUGGAUCUGUGAUUCGGUGACUUUUUGAAUGUGAAGGUGCAUUCUUACAAAUUUUCUGCUCAUGUUAGUUUAGCCCCUGGCUGCAUUAUACAGACAACAUAUUUAGAUACUUUUGAUUAUAAAGAUCUCUGACAUGAUCAUAUUGUUAUUUUCAGCUUUUGGAUUUGCAUAUAAUGCUGACACCACAUGGACUCUGAAGGAAGUUGUGCUAACUGCUAAGCCUUCCCUGCUUUUCCAGUUUGUGUAUUUCAUUGAUGGAGGAGGUAUAAAUCUGUUCCUUAAAGCGAGCAAAUCAAAACAAAAACGCAGGAGGUAUCGGACAACACUGACGACCGCUACGCCAUUCCACUUAGACCUGAAGGCAACAUCAAAGGAUGCCACCGGCAGCAGAGAUCAACAAGUUCUUCACCGUCGGGGAGAAGGUACAAAAUUGGACAUCAUGUGAGGUGUUAUGCUCAACCCCAGCCAGUUCAAAGGCAACACUGGUGGUGGUCCUCUGAGUAUGCAAAUGACAUAGAGUGGGCACUGCAAUAAUACAUGCUAAUAGGUGCAGUUUCAUCUCGAGCAGACGAGCACUGCAAUAGUACAUGCUACUCUCAGCGACUACUAACGUGAAGUUGCACUCAGGCUCUCGCAUAUACUAAAGAGCAGUGGCAUCAAUGGAACAAAUAAAGUCUUGAUAACUAGAAGGCCAUUCCGAUUCCAGUAUGGUAAAUAUUCGAUGGAUGACAAAGGGUCCCGAGGGAGCUCGUUUGUGCUGACAACACUCAGCAUAUUCUGCAAAUAUCCUCUGAGUUCACCAUCCAUGAGUUGCAAGUCAUGUUUUCUGGUGCUACAAGUAUAAAAAGGUUCAUACUUUGUUUUAUUAACCUUUUGUGGUGUUGUUCCAAUACCUUUUGGAGUUUUGGCCUAAAAGGGUUCUCUGAAACACUGAGACAAACAAAGCUAAAAUUUGGAGUAUGAUUAAGCAGUCCAGUCAGCGUUACUAAUCCCCACUUGAGCUUGACUGUAUUUCCUGGCUUAAUGUUUGAUAUUCUAUGUAUAGCAAAAAUAUGUGCAGAAUUUCAUUUAAGUUUGAAAGCCAAUCGAUUCCAUGCUUUGAGCUGGAAA
Triticum urartu is the source of this 1110-nucleotide non-coding RNA. The record is from RefSeq and is a predicted model, not a curated record. Lineage: Eukaryota; Viridiplantae; Streptophyta; Magnoliopsida; Poales; Poaceae.